CAAUAGCGUAUAUUAAAGUUGUUGCGGUUAAAAGCUCGUAGUUGGAUUUCUGUUGAGGUCGGGCGGUGUACACCUCGUGUAUUAUUUGCUCCGGUCUCGGCAUCCUCUUGGGGAACGUUUCAGGACUUUAUUGGACUGGGCGAGAUUCAAGACUUUUACUUUGAGGAAAUUAGAGUGUUCACGGCAGGCAAGUGCUUUGAAUACAUUAGCAUGGAAUAAUAAUAUAGGACCUUCGUUCUAUUUGUUGGUUUCUUAGGACCGAAGUAAUAGAUUAAUAGGGACAGUUGGGGGCGAUUCAUAUUCCAUUGUCAGAGGUGAAAUUCUUGGAUUAACGGAAGAUGAACUUCUGCGAAAGCAUCUGCCAAGGAUGUUUUCAUUGAUCAAGAACGAAAGUUAGGGGAGUCGAAGAUGAUUAGAUACCAU
RNAcentral lists this ribosomal RNA (423 nucleotides) under uncultured eukaryote. RNAcentral's name for it is "bacterial SSU rRNA". It matches the Rfam family "Eukaryotic small subunit ribosomal RNA", at positions 592 to 1018 of the family's 1831-position model. The record is from RNAcentral.